Molecule: long non-coding RNA, 579 nt
Organism: Cydia splendana
Lineage: Eukaryota; Metazoa; Arthropoda; Insecta; Lepidoptera; Tortricidae
Exons: 3
Source: RefSeq, a predicted model, not a curated record
ACAGGGCCUCGACAUGUUGAUGUUAGCAUACACAUCAUUAAUGUUUUAUUUUUUGGUUUACUUUGGUUCAAGAUUUGUUUCUCCCGAUCUGGUGAUAUAUAUAUUUAUUAGUGUUUGCUCACUAAUCGAUAUUUUGUUCAAUAUUGUCUUCAUUGUGGCUGGACAUAAGAAAAGUAUUAAGUUGCUGAAAGUGUCUUACGUGUACAACAUGGUAUGCUUGGGUUUGUUGACAUUAGGAACCUGCUUCAUACUAUAUUCAGACAUCGAUUUCAUACACAAAAUAUGGUCAUACAUCGAAGACCACAAGUACAUAAUAUUAGAAGUGCUUACAGGCUCUGGACUGGGGAUAUGCCUUAUAUUUAUACAAGUUUACAUAAUCUUGCUGAUACGUAGCGAAAUUGGAAAGCUAGAGAACCAGACGCUAGAAAUGCAGUUCACGAAUCACGCAGCCUCAGAAGAGCCGCUGUGCACAGUUCACAACGUAUCUGACACAAACCAGUGCACAGACAAGAAACAAACCGUGCAAGACAUUUGCACGAACGAGAAAUAAGGCGUCAGCGACUGGAUAGUGUAAAUCGU